CAAGAGAUAGCAUGUUGAGUUUGGGGAAUUGCAGUCAAAACAGGCACCCCAAGUUUCUACAGUCCUCUAAAUGAGCCAUGAGGUAGCUGUAGAAACAUACAGAUUCCACUUCACUGGCAUCUGAGAUGCUCGUAAACAAGUAGUGAUUCCUGUCUAGACGGCUAGUUGGUAUAGUAGAUAGACCACUGGUCCUGGAUUCAGGAAGAUAUAAGUUCAAAUCUGGCCUCAGUCACUUAACCUCUGUCUGACUGAGUUUCCUCAACUACAUAGCGGGGAUAAUAAUGACAUCUACCUAACAGGAUUGUUAUGAGAAUCAAGUGAGAUAAUAUUUAUAAAACACUUAGCAUAGUGUCUAGUACACAGUAGGCACUUAAUAAAUGCUUUUUCCUUCCUUUCCUUUCUAUCACUCAGGCUGCAGCACAAGUGAUGGUAACUAAGGCUGGUGACAUGAACAUUUGAGUCAGAAGAGUUUCUUGCUUUUAGGGUCCAGGGAUUGCAUAGAAUGUAUAGUCCAAACCUAUGUUACAUAUGAUUUUCAUGUCAAACUAUAAAUGACUUUUAUUACCUUCCCAACCGCACCUUACAAAAAAUUUCACAAAUGAAAACAUCAAAUGCUCAUAGAAGCCAAUGCAUCUACUUUAUGGAGACAAAAAUUCAGGAAAAAUUGAACAGAAGUGCUUGCUGCAUUUCGUCCCAGUUCCCAUGGGGCCAUCUCCAGUCGUCUUGAUCCA
RNAcentral lists this long non-coding RNA (731 nucleotides) under Phascolarctos cinereus (koala). RNAcentral's name for it is "lncRNA (ENSPCIG00000033911.1)". Lineage: Eukaryota; Metazoa; Chordata; Mammalia; Diprotodontia; Phascolarctidae. The record is from RNAcentral.